Molecule: ribosomal RNA, 260 nt
Filed under: uncultured bacterium
Lineage: Bacteria
Description: partial 16S ribosomal RNA
Rfam family: Bacterial small subunit ribosomal RNA
Source: RNAcentral
GUUAGCCUACGGGGGGCAGCAGUGAGGAAUAUUGGUCAAUGGGAGAGAUCCUGAACCAGCCAAGCCGCGUGAGGGAAGACGGCCCUAUGGGUUGUAAACCUCUUUUGUCGGAGAACAAAACCCGGGACGUGUCCCGGACUGCGUGUAUCCGAAGAAAAAGCAUCGGCUAACUCCGUGCCAGCAGCCGCGGUAAUGCGGAGGAUGCGAGCGUUAUCCGGAUUUAUUGGGUUUAAAGGGUGCGUAGGCGGAAUAUCAAGUCA